AUUGAACGCUGGCGGCAGGCCUAACACAUGCAAGUCGAACGGUAACAGGAAACAGCUUGCUGUUUCGCUGACGAGUGGCGGACGGGUGAGUAAUGUCUGGGAAACUGCCUGAUGGAGGGGGAUAACUACUGGAAACGGUAGCUAAUACCGCAUAACGUCGCAAGACCAAAGAGGGGGACCCUCGGGCCUCUUGCCAUCGGAUGUGCCCAGAUGGGAUUAGCUUGUUGGUGGGGUAACGGCUCACCAAGGCGACGAUCCCUAGCUGGUCUGAGAGGAUGACCAGCCACACUGGAACUGAGACACGGUCCAGACUCCUACGGGAGGCAGCAGUGGGGAAUAUUGCACAAUGGGCGCAAGCCUGAUGCAGCCAUGCCGCGUGUAUGAAGAAGGCCUUCGGGUUGUAAAGUACUUUCAGCGGGGAGGGAGGGAGUAAAGUUAAUACCUUUGCUCAUUGACGUUACCCGCAGAAGAAGCACCGGCUAACUCCGUG
This 490-nucleotide ribosomal RNA is filed under the name uncultured bacterium. RNAcentral's name for it is "partial 16S ribosomal RNA". It matches the Rfam family "Bacterial small subunit ribosomal RNA", at positions 30 to 507 of the family's 1533-position model. The record is from RNAcentral.